This 73-nucleotide transfer RNA is filed under the name Candidatus Woesearchaeota archaeon. RNAcentral's name for it is "tRNA-Gln". It matches the Rfam family "tRNA". From Rfam's summary of the family: Transfer RNA (tRNA) molecules are approximately 80 nucleotides in length. Their secondary structure includes four short double-helical elements and three loops (D, anti-codon, and T loops). Lineage: Archaea; Nanobdellati; Candidatus Woesearchaeota. RNAcentral also lists the same sequence under 1 other name. The record is from RNAcentral.
AGCCCCAUAGUGUAGUGGACUAUCAUUUCGGAUUUUGGAUCCGAAGACGGCGGUUCGAAUCCGCCUGGGGCUA